Long non-coding RNA from Ylistrum balloti, 316 nucleotides. RefSeq lists it as uncharacterized. The transcript is spliced from 3 exons. NCBI's taxonomy places the organism in Eukaryota, Metazoa, Mollusca, Bivalvia, Pectinida, Pectinidae. The record is from RefSeq and is a predicted model, not a curated record.
UACUGAUGCACGAAAAAAGAACGUAUCUGAUGGAUCAACGAAAAUAAAUGGACUUGAUCCUAGCUUUGACCAAAGUGGAGAAGAGCAACCUGAGGUGACACAGGUCUAUGACAGAACAGCUCUAACAGAACUCAUUCAUGACAGGGCUUUAUACACAGAAGAUGUUAGAGAUGGUAUACCUUUGUCUGGGCAUACCGAUCCUUGGACAGAUGACAUUAUCAAUAUACGGGACCAUCCAAGGCUUGAAAAUAUAUAGUAGAAGAUGCUUCCGCAUACUGUUUUGCCUGGUGAUACACGACGGGAUUCAACAAACAGC